GCGAUGGGCGCGCAGGGCGGUGGCGGGAGGUGCCGGCGUGCUUUUAGUGAGCUCUCAGCGAAUGUGUCUCCUCGCUCCUUACGCAGCACAGUCACCUCCCUGCCCCGGGUCUGUCCCAGCGGCGAGGUGUCUCUUGAGAUGUGUUAAUACUCUGACAAUAUUUGUUUGCUGGUCACCUGUAAGGAUCAGCUCUUGCCUUCUGCCCGGCUCAGGGCACGCGAAGUUGCGCCAGUGCACCUGAAGGGCUGAGCAGAGCUGGUGGGGGAUGUUCCCUGUACCAGCAUUGCUGCUGGAACCUCUUUAUUGUGAUCGUGCCACGACAUCGCUAAUGGAAAUCAAGUCUUUUUCCGGUGGCACAGAGAGAUUUUGUGCAUGACUUAAUCUGAAUCGGUAUUUUUGCUGCCUACUCCUCGUACGUUUGAUUUGGAUAAUUGACUGUGGUGACUCACAUGCAGGAGCAGAUUCAAAGGAAUCCGUGCUCAUUUACUUUAAUAUGUUUGUCAGUAACCUGCAGUGUUCAGGGUCUAAUUCAUGAUGUAUCCCUGCAGUAGAGUCAAUACGGUCUGUAAGAGUAGAAAGAUGAAAAUUUUGAUCUCGUUAAUCAGCCCAGCUGAAUCUUCCAGCACACAGGAAUCAGUGCCCCAGUACAGGGCUCUGAGUGUGAGAUGAAGGGAAGCUGACACUCGUGGUUUUCCCAUCUCUUCCUCUUGUAGUUCAGCUUAAUGCCUCUUCUAUUUCCAGCUCAUUUAAUACUUCAGCCUCUGCUUCUUACGCAUAUUACCCAAAAGUUUGGGACCCUUAACCAUAGCAGUGGAUGCUGUAUAAGAAGGAAGUAAACACAUACUAAUGGUGUACUUUUCCAUGUGACUAAAGGAAAAGCUAUCAUGCCUCCAGGACCAAAGAAUAACAUCCUACUUUUAGAGUGGGAAAUGCAUCAUGAAGUGAUGAAGUAGUGACUCUAAACAGGAUUUGAGGAAUUGGCUUCUUCAUCACCAGAAGUUCCAGUUAGUUCUUGUGGCGGUGACUGGGAGAGCCUCAAAAAGAGGAUUAUGAGGUGGGAGGGGAACAGGGGAACAGUUUUCAGCAGCAGUGAUUUGAGAGACACUGCUGAUGGCCUUCUUCCUCCCCGCUGGAAGAAGCAGGAUGAAAGGUGUAAGGACUUGUGCCACUCUGCAUAAUAAAGAGAGAUCUCCUGAAGUCUAGUGACUGGUUUUUCCCUCUGCUGCCCAAGAUGGACCUGCUGUAAUGGAGAAAUGCUGCUUAAUUGGUUUUGCAACAUUCCUGCAUUCCAUGUUGUCAGGACAUGAUGCUGUCCUGUGUUCUAGGAGGAUGAUGGCUCAGCAGACAAUCCUGUUGUCACAAAUGCAUAAGUAGUUCAGCAAGAAAUGUAACAAAGGUUCUCUGAUAUCACAGAAACAAUAAGCAGCAGGGACAAUAGAAGAUCUUGGGAAGAAAUGUCUUCAGUUGUUGAGGCAGACAUCACCUGGGGGAUUAAAGAAAGUUAUAAAUAGAGAAAUGCCUUUUAAAUAGAUUUUCUGUGAUGCUGCUGAAGGUCUUUGAAGAAUGAAGAUCAUUGACUGAUGUGUUUUAUUAAUGCUCCUUGGUGUUUCAGAGAAACAUCUGUCUUAUGAUUUGACCAAAAAUUCAUAUAAAUUUUGAUUGCUUGAUAUGAAAGAGAGUUUUAUCAGCACAAAUGGUGAUACUUAGUCUAUUCCCAGCACAGUAGCCUCAUUCUUCUGAUACUUGGUACCUGCAUUUUCUGUUGGGCAAAGUGCUGCAUUUCAGUUGCUAACAGGUUUAGCUGAAGAAAGCCCCACCUUUAAUUUUCUGUUGUACUCCUUCACUGAAGUUUACUGUCUCAGUUUUAGGUCUGGCUCAGUGUGCUAUGCCUCAUGUACCCAGAUUUAUAACCCAAAGAGAGAAAUGUGUGUAUUGUUCCAUUUGUCUCUGCUGUUGGACAGUAACUUCUGGCAGUGGUGAACAUGUAACCACCUGAGCGAGCACAGCAACAUCUGCAAGUGGUCUGUCAGCUGAAGCCCUUUGUUACUCAGUCUCUUCCUCAGCAUGUACUAAUGAAAAGAAGCAAUCCACGAGCAGUGGGACUACUCAGUCUUGAUCCAGGUUUUUUAAUCUUUUUGUUGACUUUGAGAUCAAAUCAGUGCUGUGUUAUCUUUCCAACCUUGUAGACAGAUUCCCGCCUUUCUGUAACUGCUGUAUUUUGGGAGACAAAGAAAAUGUCUAAUGCCAGGACAAAGCUGAAAGAACUGGGGAAAAUGUAGUGAAAGCUUGUUUCUUUUAAGAAAGUGAUACAACUUUGUGUACAGAGAACAGAUUUCUUUGCAAUCCUACACAGAGGAAAAUCCCCUUUUGUUUCCAGUCACUAUCCAUAGUUUGUCAAUUUCACCACUUAAAUUAUACAAAUUGUGUGGAAUAUUUUGUUUGGGACAUUCUGUCUAGCAAUGUAAGGAAAAAAAAUUACAUUUAGAUAUAUUUGAUGGAGCAUUGUUUUUUAUUUUCUCUAAAGGAUAUUUGAGUUCUCAAUCAAAACAAAAAGUUAUAAAACACCUUUUUCUUAAUUUCCUGUGAAAGUGUAUUUAAGGAAAUUAUUGAGUAGGCAGGUUGAAAACUGCUAAGUCACAGUGGCCUAAUACAGUUAGUAAUAUGAGCAUCUUUAUUUGGACUGUAACUUGUUUGUCCUGAUCUACUUGAUUAGUGGCAAAUUUCUCUUACCCAGAGGAACUCCCUUGGAUGUCACUUUCAGUCUCUGAACAAGUCACCUUUUGAGUAUUGUGCCCCCUUCCUAUGGGGAUUCUGGCUAUGAAAUAAGUUGUUUCCUUUGUUUAACCACUGAAGUAAAAGUAAAGCUGAAAAGAAAUGCUUUGGAAACCACGGUUACAUGGUAUUUUGUGCCCUAGAGGAUCAGCGGUUGCAACAUGUUUAACUGCUCUCCUGGAAGUCUGUGAAGAUCCUGCUCCAGAGCUGCAGUGCUGGGAUGUUGCCAUGUGCCUGCUCACAUAUAUUUGAAGGAAAAACAAAUGCAGUUGUCCUGGGCACCAUCUGAGUGAUUAUGUACCUAGGCCAGUGUUAAAAUCUGGAGUUGAGUUAAAAUUUAAUUACUAAACCACUGGAGAUCAUUUGAAUACUCUCUCCUAAUUUUAUGGGAGCAGUUUUAGCUAGACCUUCUUCUGUACUAAUGAGUUGUCCCUACAAAAGGUCUGUAGCUAAAUUUCUCUGUGGGUCAAUAAGAUUUUACUGGCCAGUGGAGUGCUGAGUAGUUCUUGUAAUCACAAGUACAAGCACAAUUUGCUCAAUAUGAAGUACCUUCCAAAAACCCCCAACUUUAUAUCCCUAAAUUUUAUGUUACUAAAUGUGUAUGAAAAUUGUGAUCCAGUACAACUCAGGGAAGUACUGAAAAUGCUAUAGUACAUUUAUUUUCUGCUGUUAUGUUUUAAAAUUUUAUUUCAGCUUCAAUAAAAUGUGUUGUGUAUUUCA
Vidua macroura (Pin-tailed whydah) is the source of this 3492-nucleotide long non-coding RNA. RefSeq lists it as uncharacterized. Lineage: Eukaryota; Metazoa; Chordata; Aves; Passeriformes; Viduidae. The record is from RefSeq and is a predicted model, not a curated record. The transcript has 2 exons.